GACGAACGCUGGCGGCGUGCUUAACACAUGCAAGUCGAACGGAAAGGCCCUGCUUUUGUGGGGUGCUCGAGUGGCGAACGGGUGAUUAACACGUGAGUAACCUGCCCUUGACUUUGGGAUAACUUCAGGAAACUGGGGCUAAUACCGGAUAGGAGCUCCUGCUGCAGGGGGGGGGUGGGAAAGUUUCGGCGGUUGGGGAUGGACUCGCGGCUUAUCAGCUUGUUGGUGGGGUAGUGGCUUACCAAGGCUUUGACGGGUAGCCGGCCUGAGAGGGUGACCGGCCACAUUGGGACUGAGAUACGGCCCAGACUCCUACGGGAGGCAGCAGUGGGGAAUAUUGCACAAUGGGCGGAAGCCUGAUGCAGCAACGCCGCGUGCGGGAUGACGGCCUUCGGGUUGUAAACCGCUUUCGCCUGUGACGAAGCGUGAGUGACGGUAAUGGGUAAAGAAGCACCGGCUAACUACGUG
Molecule: ribosomal RNA, 468 nt
Filed under: uncultured bacterium
Lineage: Bacteria
Description: partial 16S ribosomal RNA
Rfam family: Bacterial small subunit ribosomal RNA
Source: RNAcentral